Molecule: ribosomal RNA, 468 nt
Filed under: uncultured bacterium
Lineage: Bacteria
Description: partial 16S ribosomal RNA
Rfam family: Bacterial small subunit ribosomal RNA
Source: RNAcentral
GACGAACGCUGGCGGCGUGCUUAACACAUGCAAGUCGAACGGAAAGGCCCUGCUUUUGUGGGGUGCUCGAGUGGCGAACGGGUGAGUAACACGUGAGUAACCUGCCCUUGACUUUGGGAUAACUUCAGGAAACUGGGGCUAAUACCGGAUAGGAGCUCCUGCUGCAUGGUGGGGGUUGGAAAGUUUCGGCGGUUGGGGAUGGACUCGCGGCUUAUCAGCUUGUUGGUGGGGUAGUGGCUUACCAAGGCUUUGACGGGUAGCCGGCCUGAACGGGUGACCGGCCACAUUGGGACUGAGAUACGGCCCAGACUCCUACGGGAGGCAGCAGUGGGGAAUAUUGCACAAUGGGCGGAAGCCUGAUGCAGCAACGCCGCGUGCGGGAUGACGGCCUUCGGGUUGUAAACCGCUUUCGCCUGUGACGAAGCGUGAGUGACGGUAAUGGGUAUAGAAGCACCGGCUAACUACGUG